Canis lupus familiaris (dog) is the source of this 253-nucleotide long non-coding RNA. RefSeq lists it as uncharacterized. Lineage: Eukaryota; Metazoa; Chordata; Mammalia; Carnivora; Canidae. The record is from RefSeq and is a predicted model, not a curated record. The transcript is spliced from 4 exons.
CCAGCCUGGAGACCUGGCUCUGGGGAUUUUAUAAGCUGUCUGCACCUCUGGGGACCAUGGAAGGCAGCGCCAGAACCCUGAACUUCACUGCCCUUCUUUGCCUGGGGCUGUGUUGGGGACCAUGGGACCAGGCACAGGCAGGAGUAUUUGGGGCACCCACCCUCUCAGUUAACCCAGGCCCUGUGGUGGCCUCAGGAGUGAACAUGUCCCUCUCCUGUAGUUCACGUUACCCAUGGUAGUCAUUCCAUCUGCU